This 202-nucleotide unclassified non-coding RNA is filed under the name uncultured Russula. RNAcentral describes it as "sequence contains ITS1". Lineage: Eukaryota; Fungi; Basidiomycota; Agaricomycetes; Russulales; Russulaceae. The record is from RNAcentral.
UCGUAAAACCGAGAGGCAUGAGGGUUGUCGCUGACCUUUCGAGGUCGUGCACGCCCGAGCGCUCUCGCCACAAUCCAUCCCACCCCUUUUGUGCAUCACCGCGUGGGUCCGCCCCCCUUUGCGGGGGAGGGCUCGCGUUUUCAUCAAAAAAUCGAUACAGUUUAGAAUGUCCUUUUUUUUUUGCGGUCACACGCAAUCAAUA